GAGAAAUUAGGAACAUAUAUGGGUGCUAUUUUUCAAAGCAGUAAUAUUAGUAUUAAAUCUGCUCCUUUUCCAGCUUAUAUUGUCAAUCUAACCAUCCUUAUCCCCAAUCCCCCACCUUCUCUCUGUGUGUGGUGUGAGGGCGUCGGCACGAGGUUGUUGACCAGACGGAGGGCGGCGGCCAUGCUCGCCUCUCAAUCUCAUCUUACGGCGAGGCCAUAUAUACCGUGUAAAAAAAAAAGAAUUCCGGAAACAAGGAUCUGAGAGAACACUAGAAGAAGAAGAUGACAUGCACGGGGAGGGGAACCGCAUACCUUACUGACGAUGCCAGGAAGAGGAGGAGAUUAUUCAGUGGUAGUGGUAGAAUCUGGAAUGCGAGGAGAGCGAGAAGACGCCUCUGUUUAUAUAGGAGUAUGGGCCAAUACCAAGGGCAAGCAGGAGCCUGGACGUUAACAUUAGCAGAAGCACAAAGAGAAUUAUUAGCAGUCUGAUUUGACGAUAAUCUCCCUGGUUUGGCUGCGCCGCGUUUCCUGGGCACCGCAUCACAACACCCACCAAGAGCAUAUCCAUCUGACUCAUCCCUGACUUUUCUUCGUGCAAUCAUUCUUGUGUUUUUUUGGCUUGGUUUGAGGCAGAUCUAGUAUAGGAGCAAUAUGGUAAGCUGUUACACUUAUACAUGACUAAUUGAAGGCCGC
Long non-coding RNA from Oryza brachyantha (malo sina), 692 nucleotides. RefSeq lists it as uncharacterized. NCBI's taxonomy places the organism in Eukaryota, Viridiplantae, Streptophyta, Magnoliopsida, Poales, Poaceae. The transcript has 4 exons. The record is from RefSeq and is a predicted model, not a curated record.